RNAcentral lists this unclassified non-coding RNA (290 nucleotides) under plant metagenome. RNAcentral describes it as "partial contains 5.8S ribosomal RNA, internal transcribed spacer 2, and large subunit ribosomal RNA". The stretch from base 1 to 105 matches the Rfam family "5.8S ribosomal RNA", at positions 50 to 154 of the family's 154-position model. The record is from RNAcentral.
GAAAUGCGAUAAGUAAUGUGAAUUGCAGAAUUCAGUGAAUCAUCGAAUCUUUGAACGCACCUUGCGCCCUUUGGUAUUCCGAAGGGCAUGCCUGUUUGAGUGUCAUGAAACCUCACCCCACCCGGGUUUUUUGCCCGAGUGGUCGGUGGAUUGGGCGCCUGCCGUCAAUGGCUCGCCUGAAAAGCAUAAGCGCCUUGGAUGUAAUACGUUUCAUCCUUAUGGGUGGCUGACAACCCCACAUACUCAUGAUCUGGCCUCAAAUCAGGUAGGGCUACCCGCUGAACUUAAGC